This 406-nucleotide ribosomal RNA is filed under the name uncultured bacterium. RNAcentral describes it as "partial 16S ribosomal RNA". It matches the Rfam family "Bacterial small subunit ribosomal RNA", at positions 30 to 526 of the family's 1533-position model. The record is from RNAcentral.
AUUGAACGCUGGCGGCAGGCUUAACACAUGCAAGUCGAGCGAGCGGCGGACGGGUGAGUAAUGUCUGGGAAACUGCCUGAUGGAGGGGGAUAACUACUGGAAACGGUAGCUAAUACCGCAUACCAUCAGAUGUGCCCAGGUGGGAUUAGCUAGUAGGUGGGGUAAUGGCUCAUCUAGGCGACGAUCCCUAGCUGGUCUGAGAGGAUGACCGGCCACACUGGAACUGAGACACGGUCCAGACUCCUACGGGAGGCAGCAGUGGGGAAUAUUCGGCAAUGGACGCAAGCCUGAUGCAGCCAUGCCGCGUGUGUGAAGAAGGCCUUCGGAUUGGAAAGCACUUUCAGCGAGGAGGCGUUACUCGCAGAAGAAGCACCGGCUAACUCCGUGCCAGCAGCCGCGGUAAUUC